AUUGAACGCUGGCGGCAUGCCUUACACAUGCAAGUCGAACGGUAACGGGCCUUCGGGUGCCGACGAGUGGCGAACGGGUGAAGUAAUGCAUCGGAACGUACCUUUCAGUGGGGGAUAACGUAGCGAAAGUUACGCUAAUACCGCAUAUUCUGUGAGCAGGAAAGCAGGGGAUCGCAAGACCUUGCGCUGAUUGAGCGGCCGAUGUCAGAUUAGCUAGUUGGUGAGGUAAAGGCUCACCAAGGCGACGAUCUGUAGCGGGUCUGAGAGGAUGAUCCGCCACACUGGAACUGAGACACGGUCCAGACUCCUACGGGAGGCAGCAGUGGGGAAUUUUGGACAAUGGGGGCAACCCUGAUCCAGCCAUGCCGCGUGAGUGAAGAAGGCCUUCGGGUUGUAAAGCUCUUUCGGCCGGGAAGAAAUCGUAUGGGUUAAUACCCUGUGCGGAUGACGGUACCGGCAUAAGAAGCACCGGCUAACUACGUG
This 483-nucleotide ribosomal RNA is filed under the name uncultured bacterium. RNAcentral describes it as "bacterial SSU rRNA". It matches the Rfam family "Bacterial small subunit ribosomal RNA", at positions 30 to 507 of the family's 1533-position model. The record is from RNAcentral.